UUAAAGCAGAAGAUCCUCUUUUUUUUGUUCCAAAGAAAUCUUACGUGGAAUCCUAAUAUAUAACAAACAAAGCACAAUUGUUGUAAUUGAAAUGGAGAUUGGAGACUGCAGGAGUCCCCUCCCAGCCUUUCUGGGCAGUCCCUGUAGAUGUCUACAAAACAAUACUUGGUAAUCCUCUGGGUUGGAGAAUAUCUGUAUUCUGUAGUGGAUAUAUGUUAUCUUGUUUAAUUUUUGGGACACACAGAUUCCAUUCCUGCACCCUGAAUUUCUCCUUGAGAGCCACCAUUCCAUUUCCCCAGGUCCAUAUGUUUUUGAUGAAGUUAAUUCAAUUUGGCUCCAGGGCUAGGCAUAUGAUUUUGUCAUGCCCAACAUUUCAUCCCACUGGACUCAGUGAUUGGUUCAGGAAUGUGCACAUGACCCUAUUUAGCCCAGUGAGAUUAGAUCUAGGAUUUUUAUUAAAAUUUAAGAGAGGUGGAAUUUUUUCCCCCCAUUAAACUUGAACUCUGGGACUAUGAAACCUGAAAAUAAAGUCUACAUGGAAGUAAACAGAGCUGAAAGAUGGAAAGAGACCAGAUCUCAGAGGUGUUAAGCCAUUGGAUUAAGAUUUGCCUGAAGACAGACAGAUCUGCCACUGGACCUUUGGUUUUGUGAGUCAAUAUAUAUUUUUUUAAUUUAAGUAGCUGGAGUUUCACCUUCUAUUAUUUGCAACCUAGAGUCCAAACUAGUAUGGAUUCCUUCCAGAUCCAGAAUCCCAGGAUCCUCGGGGAGGUAGAUUUUGGGGCUGUUCACCAACUUUCCACUUUUUCUUCUCCUGAGCACAUGGUAGGAUUGCACUUCCUCACUCGUUCUGAGUGGGGCAUGACAUAUGACUAUGGUGUAUGACUUUCUUUGUCAACAAAAUGUGAGUAGGCGUGAUAUGUGUCACUUCCAGGUGGGCUCUUUAAAGUCAGUGCAUGAUUCACUCCACUCUUUCUUUCCCAUAAUAAUGUUCCAGAUGUUGGAAGCUCCAUCAGCCUGGGUCCCAGAUUGAGGACAACGAGGAGCACAGAUCUCUGCUGACCCUUGAUGGAUUUGUACUCCUCUCUUCUAGAUCAAGUCAUGUGACAAGUUCUUGCCAAUGAAUGGAACAUGACAGGAAGUGAUAUGUGUUAUUUCCGGGCAACAGCAAUUAAGAAAUGGGUGCAUCUUCUCCACCCUCUCUUUCCCCUCCCACAGCUUGCUGCAGAGGAACCCAGCCACUUGGAAGCCAUGUGUUGAAGAUAAAAGGACCACAAGAUGGAAUACAUCCGGUUUCCUGAUGUAUUUUCCUCCAAAUACAUCAUUUGGAGGAAAGCCAACUCCAAUGCGUAGUGCUCAUUUUGGACUUGAUAAAUAAACUUUCAUUGUCUUUAA
Molecule: long non-coding RNA, 1392 nt
Organism: Homo sapiens (human)
Lineage: Eukaryota; Metazoa; Chordata; Mammalia; Primates; Hominidae
Exons: 2
Source: RefSeq, a predicted model, not a curated record